Molecule: long non-coding RNA, 356 nt
Organism: Coregonus clupeaformis (lake whitefish)
Lineage: Eukaryota; Metazoa; Chordata; Actinopteri; Salmoniformes; Salmonidae
Exons: 3
Source: RefSeq, a predicted model, not a curated record
CAGGAAGCAGGUGGUGAGUUUAAUAUAAACGAACAUGGCACAAUACAAAACAAGACAUGAAUCUGACAGGAAAACAGAACCAAUACUGCCUGGACGCAAUUCAUGCUUCCCUUGGGACGAGGAGAGGAGGCUUUCUGCUAAACAAAAGCCUUUUAAUUUCUACCAUUUUUCACCAAGUGCCGCACUUCCAGAAGUCUUCAGACGGCCAGACAAAUGGGUUAGGACUUGAUGUGGUAAACCUUGAUGUUUAUUGUUACUGACUAAACUAUUGACAAAUUCUCUGAAACGACAUUGGAGUUGGCUUAUGGUAGAGAAAUUAACAUUAAGUUAUCUGGCAACAGCUCUGGUGGACAUUC